Long non-coding RNA from Passer domesticus (house sparrow), 2034 nucleotides. RefSeq lists it as uncharacterized. The transcript has 3 exons. Lineage: Eukaryota; Metazoa; Chordata; Aves; Passeriformes; Passeridae. The record is from RefSeq and is a predicted model, not a curated record.
UCGCUACCGUUCCCGGGAGCCGCACACGGCCGGGCCCGCUCAGCUGCUCCAGCUGAGGCAGCGCCACCUCAGGCCCCCUAGAAGGGAGAAACUUCAAAAAAGUGAUGAACAUCCGCUUCUUUGAUCUCCGCACUUGCAAGGGAGGCAAGCUGGUCGCAGACAGCAGAGGUUUGCAAGACAGUUACAAUGCGCAUCUGCAAAUGCACACAGACUCCUUUAACUGUGCUUGAGGAGGAUUAAAAUGAGCAGCUGGAAUACAAGUCCAGGCUGACAAACAGGAAACAAGCUGUCAAUGAAGGAUGUAAAAUUCAGUAAGCAAAACAGUUAUGUAAAAAGCAAGACACAUAUUUCAGUUCAUCCUUGCGUUAACGACCUGAUAGAUAUCUUUUUACACUCCCAAGUCGUCAAGCACAAGAAUUGUAUUUAGAUGUAGGAUCUCUCUCCUAUGCCUGUUCUCACAAGGGCCUUACAUCUAACACCUUAUUUAAUGACGGAUAAGCCACUGUUCCAGUAACUAGAAAUAUCAAGCCAACAGGAGCUAGGACCAGGCCAAACAGGACAACUUCACUUGACUGGCACAAGUGGAAUUCACACAGCCUUUGGCUUUCUUCAGAUGGAAGAACAGUUUUGUGAGGAAUACUCUCAACUGUUCUAGUUGCAGAAAUAAAGCCCAAAACUGAAGGUUAUGUCAGGUUAUUUCAGACAAAGGCUCAAAUUUACCAUACUCUGUGGAAUUGAACACAUUGCCUGAAAUGUGCCUUGAGACCAUCACCUGAAAAGAAGGAUGCAAUCCUGCUGCUUCCUUAGACCACAGGGCUGGUGCAUUUUGGUCUGUCACCUCUUCUCAUUUGUGAAGAUCAUCCAGACAGGAAUCUUUCAUAUGAGAGAGACUCAAAACGUACUUUGUAGGAAAUCUGAUUUUAAAGUCAGGAUAUGCCUUAAGUGAUGCCAGUUUUUUAAUGCCUCUAACUACUGGAUUUAUGCAAGACAAGCAACUCUUGGAUUUUACACCAAACCAUCUCCAUCUCCCCUUCAAGCCCUAAGUCAGGAACUGCUGUUGCAACCUUAUCCGUGGUAUUACAGGGACUGAGUGGUUUAUCUGUAGUCCUGCUCAACAUCAGAGCCUUAGGACAUUUUUUGGAAUAUCUUUGUUGUCAAUGCCAAGCGCAAAAACGGAUACAGAUGCUGCAUUUAUCUACUGGUGCCAUCAGACAAUGACAUUAUAUAAUUCAGAGUUUUUUUGGGGAUUUCUUAAAUGUAAAAUUCAAUGGAAAAGUAUGUACACUACCAAGUGUCCAAAAUCACACAACUUGUAAAACACAGUGACUGGUCUCUUUAAAAUACAUCUCAUGUCCUGAAGAAUCCACUCUGCCUACUUCAUUCACACAGCAUUCUACUACUGAUGAGCUUGCUGCAUAUCACAGCAAGUUUUGUACUUGUCUGUGUUUUUGUUGUACAAUAACCAAAGCUGCACAAGUACAACAAAUUUGAAGUUAUCAUCCAACCUCUGAAAAUAUUGAUUCUAAAGACUAUAAGCCAGGAACUUUGCAGCAUUAACAUAUUCAAAUGCUUGUAGAUAAACAACAGAAAAUUGAUCUUUAAUUAAAUUUAUAUUAGAAUGUAGCAAGUUUUUGAUAUCUAGAACAGGUACAGCUGGUAGGAAUCAAUAUCAGAACAGUGGUUAAGACACAGUAUUAAAGCCAAACUCAACUGCUAAGCAGUAGUGACAACCUCCAUCUUCACACAAACCUCAGGGUUUACCAGAUGCGCAGGGAAAGCUGAUAAAGGUCUCCACACAAGUAAGAACUGCCCAGUGGGUAACUGGUAAUUCCUCAGCAGCAGUUACCUGAACCACAAUGCAAAUGCAUUCACAGAAUUGAUGAGAGGCAUAAAUUUGGUGCAAUACACAGCAGCACUCAGCUCCAGCCUGCUCUGCUGCUGGAGUGAUAAGAACCCAGACAGGACUGGAACCUGACAACUGGGGUAAACUACAGAGUUAAUGAAACUGCACCACACAGCAGAGAGAAGGAAAAA